ACUCCUACGGGGAGGCAGCAGUGGGGGAAUAUUUGGACAAUGGGGGCAACCCGUGAUCCAGCCAUGCCGCGUGAGUGAUGAAGGCCUUAGGGUUGUAAAGCUCUUUCAGCGUAGGAGGAUAAUGACGUUACUCGCAGAAGAAGCCCCGGCUAACUUCGUGCCAGCAGCCGCGGUAAUACGAAGGGGCUAGCGUUGUUCGGAAUCACU
This 207-nucleotide ribosomal RNA is filed under the name uncultured bacterium. Its description in RNAcentral is "partial 16S ribosomal RNA". It matches the Rfam family "Bacterial small subunit ribosomal RNA", at positions 335 to 555 of the family's 1533-position model. The record is from RNAcentral.